This 77-nucleotide transfer RNA is filed under the name Methylocystis sp. Sn-Cys. Its description in RNAcentral is "tRNA-Arg". It matches the Rfam family "tRNA". Rfam says of the family: Transfer RNA (tRNA) molecules are approximately 80 nucleotides in length. Their secondary structure includes four short double-helical elements and three loops (D, anti-codon, and T loops). The record is from RNAcentral. Lineage: Bacteria; Pseudomonadati; Pseudomonadota; Alphaproteobacteria; Hyphomicrobiales; Methylocystaceae. RNAcentral also lists the same sequence under 2 other names.
GGCUCCGUAGCUCAGCCGGAUAGAGCAACUGCCUUCGAAGCAGUGGGUCGCAGGUUCGAAUCCUGCCGGGGUCGCCA